UUGACCUCGGAUCAGGUAGGGAUACCCGCUGAACUUUA
Molecule: ribosomal RNA, 38 nt
Filed under: Phyllosticta capitalensis
Lineage: Eukaryota; Fungi; Ascomycota; Dothideomycetes; Botryosphaeriales; Phyllostictaceae
Also listed under: 1 other name
Description: partial 28S ribosomal RNA
Source: RNAcentral